This is a non-coding RNA of Parasteatoda tepidariorum (common house spider), 212 nucleotides long. Lineage: Eukaryota; Metazoa; Arthropoda; Arachnida; Araneae; Theridiidae. The record is from RefSeq and is a predicted model, not a curated record.
AAGGUAGAAACUGACCAGAUAAAAGGCAUUCCAGUAUUCAAGUACCAGCACCGACGUUGUAUGGCUUUGCAAGGGUAUUAUUUCUAGAGAGACAAUAUUGAAUUCUAAUUCUAUUCAACUAAAAAAAAUAUUUGAACAAUUGGACUCAUUACGUAAUUUACACACCUUGUAUGCUUUCACGAUCCCACACGAUUUUUGUUGUCAUAGUAAUA